This 1204-nucleotide ribosomal RNA is filed under the name metagenome. RNAcentral describes it as "bacterial LSU rRNA". It matches the Rfam family "Bacterial large subunit ribosomal RNA", at positions 1706 to 2925 of the family's 2925-position model. The record is from RNAcentral.
UAAGGAACUCGGCAAAAUGGCCCCGUAACUUCGGGAUAAGGGGUGCCACCGCAAGGUGGUCGCAGUGAAGAGGCCCAGGCGACUGUUUACCAAAAACACAGGUCUCCGCUAAGUCGCAAGACGAUGUAUGGGGGCUGACGCCUGCCCAGUGCCGGAAGGUUAAGGAAGCUGGUCAGCGUAAGCGAAGCUGGCGACUGAAGCCCCGGUGAACGGCGGCCGUAACAAUAACGGUCCUAAGGUAGCGAAAUUCCUUGUCGGGUAAGUUCCGACCCGCACGAAAGGCGUAACGAUCUGGGCGCUGUCUCGGAGAGAGCCUCGGCGAAAUAGAAUUGUCUGUGAAGAUGCGGACUACGUGCACCCGGACAGAAAGACCCUAUGAAGCUUUACUGUAGCUUGGUAUUGUGCCCGGGCUCGCAAUGCGCAGGAUAGGUGGGAGGCUUUGAUCAUCGGCUUGCGGGUCGAUGUGAGCCAACGGUGAGAUACCACUCUUUGCGAGCUAGGGUUCUAACGGUCACCCGUUAUCCGGGGACCGGACAGUAUCAGGUGGGCAGUUUGACUGGGGCGGUCGCCUCCUAAAAGGUAACGGAGGCGCGCAAAGGUUUGCUCAGGCUGGUUGGAAAUCAGCCGACGAGUGUAAAAGCAGAAGCAAGCUUGACUGUGAGACCUACAAGUCGAACAGGGACGAAAGUCGGCUUUAGUGAUCCGACGGUUCUGAGUGGAAGGGCCGUCGCUCAACGGAUAAAAGUUACUCUAGGAUAACAGGCUGAUCUCCCCCAAGAGUUCACAUCGACGGGGAGGUUUGGCACCUCGAUGUCGGCUCAUCGCAACCUGGGGCUGAAGUCGGUCCCAAGGGUUGGGCUGUUCGCCCAUUAAAGCGGUACGCGAGCUGGGUUCAGAACGUCGUGAGACAGUUCGGUCCAUAUCCGGUGCACGCGCAGGAACAUUGAGAGGAUUUCUCCCUAGUACGAGAGGACCGGGAGGAACGCACCUCUGGUGUACCAGUUAUCGUGCCAACGGUAAACGCUGGGUAGCCAUAUGCGGAGUGGAUAACCGCUGAAAGCAUCUAAGUGGGAAGCCCACCUCAAGAUGAAUGUUCCCAUGGCGUUAGCCAGUAAGGUCACGGGAAGAACACCCGUUGAUAGGCUCUACGUGGAAGCGCAGUAAUGCGUGAAGCGGAGGAGUACUAAUAGACCGAGGGCUUGAC